RNAcentral lists this ribosomal RNA (714 nucleotides) under uncultured Methanomicrobiaceae archaeon. RNAcentral's name for it is "bacterial SSU rRNA". It matches the Rfam family "Archaeal small subunit ribosomal RNA", at positions 88 to 812 of the family's 1478-position model. Lineage: Archaea; Methanobacteriati; Methanobacteriota; Methanomicrobia; Methanomicrobiales; Methanomicrobiaceae. The record is from RNAcentral.
GCUCAGUACCACGUGACACUACCUAUGGUGGGGGAUAACCCCGGGAAACUGGGGAUAUACCCCAUAGACUAUGGAAGCUGGAAUGCUCUGUAGCCGAAAGGUCAGCCGCCGUAGGAUGGGUCUGCGGCCGAUUAGGUAGUUGUUGGGGUAACGGCCCAACAAGCCUGUAAUCGGUACGGGUUGUGGGAGCAAGAGCCCGGAGAUGGAUUCUGAGACACGAAUCCAGGCCCUACGGGGCGCAGCAGGCGCGAAAACUUUACAAUGCGGGAAACCGUGAUAAGGGAACUCCGAGUGCCCGUUAAAUCGGGCUGUCCACCAGUUUAAAUAACUGGUGAAGAAAGGGCCGGGCAAGACCGGUGCCAGCCGCCGCGGUAAUACCGGCGGCUCGAGUGGUGGCCACUAUUACUGGGCUUAAAGCGUUCGUAGCUGGUUUGUUAAGUCUCUGGGGAAAUCUUCCGGCUUAACCGGAAGGCGUCUCAGGGAUACUGGCAGACUAGGGACCGGAAGAGGUGAGGGGUACUCCAGGGGUAGGAGUGAAAUCCUGUAAUCCUUGGGGGACCACCUGUGGCGAAGGCGCCUCACCAGGACGGCUCCGACAGUGAGGGACGAAAGCUGGGGGAGCAAACCGGAUUAGAUACCCGGGUAGUCCCAGCCGUAAACGAUGUGCGUUAGGUGUAUCGGUGACCACGAGUCACCGAGGUGCCGAAGAGAAAU